Molecule: ribosomal RNA, 484 nt
Filed under: uncultured bacterium
Lineage: Bacteria
Description: partial 16S ribosomal RNA
Rfam family: Bacterial small subunit ribosomal RNA
Source: RNAcentral
AUUGAACGCUGGCGGCAGGCCUAACACAUGCAAGUCGAGCGGAUGAAGGGAGCUUGCUCCUGGAUUCAGCGGCGGACGGGUGAGUAAUGCCUAGGAAUCUGCCUGGUAGUGGGGGAUAACGUCAGGAAACGGGCGCUAAUACCGCAUACGUCCUGAGGGAGAAAGUGGGGGAUCUUCGGACCUCACGCUAUCAGAUGAGCCUAGGUCGGAUUAGCUAGUUGGUGGGGUAAAGGCCUACCAAGGCGACGGUCCGUAACUGGUCUGAGAGGAUGAUCAGUCACACUGGAACUGAGACACGGUCCAGACUCCUACGGGAGGCAGCAGUGGGGAAUAUUGGACAAUGGGCGAAAGCCUGAUCCAGCCAUGCCGCGUGUGUGAAGAAGGUCUUCGGAUUGUAAAGCACUUUAAGUUGGGAGGAAGGGCAGUAAGUUAAUACCUUGCUGUUUUGACGUUACCAACAGAAUAAGCACCGGCUAACUUCGUG